AAUAUAGGAUGCCUGAUUUAAGGAUAAUUUUGAUAGAAUUAAAUAUGUGAACUUCACUCUUAUAA
Molecule: transfer RNA, 65 nt
Filed under: Crepidodera sp. BMNH 846615
Lineage: Eukaryota; Metazoa; Arthropoda; Insecta; Coleoptera; Chrysomelidae
Description: tRNA-Ile
Source: RNAcentral